AACGCUAGCUACAGGCUUAACACAUGCAAGUCGAGGGGCAGCAUUGGAGUAGCAAUACUUCAGAUGGCGACCGGCGCACGGGUGAGUAACACGUAUCCAACCUGCCGCUUACUCGGGGAUAGCCUUUCGAAAGAAAGAUUAAUACCCGAUGGUAUAGAGAGUUCGCAUGUUCUCUUUAUUAAAGAAUUUCGGUAAGCGAUGGGGAUGCGUUCCAUUAGAUUGUUGGCGGGGUAACGGCCCACCAAGUCUACGAUGGAUAGGGGUUCUGAGAGGAAGGUCCCCCACAUUGGAACUGAGACACGGUCCAAACUCCUACGGGAGGCAGCAGUGAGGAAUAUUGGUCAAUGGACGAGAGUCUGAACCAGCCAAGUAGCGUGAAGGAUGACUGCCCUAUGGGUUGUAAACUUCUUUUAUAAGGGAAUAAAGUGAGGGACGUGUCCCUUUUUGUAUGUACCUUAUGAAUAAGGAUCGGCUAACUCCGUGCCAGCAGCCGCGGUAAUACGGAGGAUCCAAGCGUUAUCCGGAUUUAUUGGGUUUAAAGGGAGCGUAGGUUGACAUAUAAGUCAGCUGUGAAAGUUUACGGCUCAACCGUGAAAUUGCAGUUGAUACUGUAUGUCUUGAGUGUACAAGAGGUGGGCGGAAUUCGUGGUGUAGCGGUGAAAUGCUUAGAUAUCACGAAGAACUCCGAUUG
This 691-nucleotide ribosomal RNA is filed under the name uncultured bacterium. RNAcentral describes it as "bacterial SSU rRNA". It matches the Rfam family "Bacterial small subunit ribosomal RNA", at positions 32 to 715 of the family's 1533-position model. The record is from RNAcentral.